Non-coding RNA from Podarcis lilfordi (Lilford's wall lizard), 81 nucleotides. NCBI's taxonomy places the organism in Eukaryota, Metazoa, Chordata, Lepidosauria, Squamata, Lacertidae. The record is from the annotation of a GenBank genome assembly.
AGCCCGUAGCUCAGUGGUGGAACAUCUGCUUUGCAUGCUGAAGGUCCCAGGUUCGAGCCCCAACAUCUCCAGGUAGGGCUA